ACAGAUUUACUUCGGUAAUGACGUUGGGAAAGCGAGCGGCGGAUGGGUGAGUAACACGUGGGGAACCUGCCCCUAAGUCUGGGAUACCAUUUGGAAACAGGUGCUAAUACCGGAUAAUAAAGCAGAUCGCAUGAUCAGCUUUUGAAAGGCGGCGUAAGCUGUCGCUAAGGGAUGGCCCCGCGGUGCAUUAGCUAGUUGGUAAGGUAACGGCUUACCAAGGCGACGAUGCAUAGCCGAGUUGAGAGACUGAUCGGCCACAUUGGGACUGAGACACGGCCCAAACUCCUACGGGAGGCAGCAGUAGGGAAUCUUCCACAAUGGACGCAAGUCUGAUGGAGCAACGCCGCGUGAGUGAAGAAGGUUUUCGGAUCGUAAAGCUCUGUUGUUGGUGAAGAAGGAUAGAGGUAGUAACUGGCCUUUAUUUGACGGUAAUCAACCAGAAAGUCACGGCUAACUACGUGCCAGCAGCCGCGGUAAUACGUAGGUGGCAAGCGUUGUCCGGAUUUAUUGGGCGUAAAGCGAGCGCAGGCGGAAAAAUAAGUCUAAUGUGAAAGCCCUCGGCUUAACCGAGGAACUGCAUCGGAAACUGUUUUUCUUGAGUGCAGAAGAGGAGAGUGGAACUCCAUGUGUAGCGGUGGAAUGCGUAGAUAUAUGGAAGAACACCAGUGGCGAAGGCGGCUCUCUGGUCUGCAACUGACGCUGAGGCU
Molecule: ribosomal RNA, 707 nt
Filed under: uncultured Bacilli bacterium
Lineage: Bacteria; Bacillati; Bacillota; Bacilli
Description: bacterial SSU rRNA
Rfam family: Bacterial small subunit ribosomal RNA
Source: RNAcentral